GUGUGGUGGGAGGUGCCAAGGAUUAAUUACCAGAUACCUUUAGUCUAGGUCGGGUCGGGAUUUUGAGGUUUCCGGUGGAGCAGCCUCAUAUACUAAAAGCACAGGAGAGAGGAACCCAGAUUUGUUAUUGCUUCCCAUUUGUUUGAUAUUGGCCUGGUUAGUUAUCUUCUGACCCCGUUUCUUCACUGCUAAACACCUCUUGACUUGCUACUGGUACCUGGAAGAGAUGUAACACCUGACCAUCGGACAUCAAGUGACUGCGUGAAUCAAACUGCCUGUCAUGAAUUGUUAUUUGAUUCACCAAACUGUACAACUGGAUGAACACAGGAGCAGUGCACUACAUAUGGGACUGGAACCAUGAAUGAGCAGGUGACUCAGACUCCUAUAGUACCUGCCUCUACUCCUUCAGCACUUCUCACUCAACCCACAUAAACUGUCAUCAUAAGGAGUUCCCUCUGACCAGUUAAUGGAAGAGAAAAAAGUAUGGAUGUUGUGGAUAUCCUAACAUAUCUCUGGCCAUUGGACCCCUAGAAACCUAUGGCAAGUCCUGGAAGUUUUUCAAGGUUCAUCUUGCACCUCUAGCAUGCAUAUGUCUUACCAAAGCAUGUAGAAUGCUGCUUACUUCUGCUCAUCAGUUUCAUUUAAUAUAAUUUCAUUACUCUAAUCAGUGUAAUGUUCUAUGGAAUAACAAGACCUUCCAGGUCCCUUCAUACCAUAUAGAGAACAGGAGAGUUGAUGUAGCCAGAGACAAGACAGUAAGGACUUACUGUUAUCCCUCCUAUUUAAACGUAGUCUGAUUCCCCUUAGAAUUAGAAUGGGGGUGGGGGGACAUUUCCAGAUCAAUAUCAGAUCAGUAUCAUGUCAACAUGUGUAUUUCUUCCAAAGAAGAUACCACACCUAGAACAGCAACCAUAAUUGGCAUCCCUACCUAAUUAAAGUUUGCAGUCCACUGUCAUUCUUCACUAGCCAUCUGGUUUUUAUACUGUCAUUCUCCAUGAUGCAUCUGGUGGCCACAGGAAAUUUAAAUGGGAAUGUGGUAUGAAUCACUACGGCAACAUGGUGGCACU
This is a long non-coding RNA of Nomascus leucogenys (northern white-cheeked gibbon), 1067 nucleotides long. RefSeq lists it as uncharacterized. Lineage: Eukaryota; Metazoa; Chordata; Mammalia; Primates; Hylobatidae. The record is from RefSeq and is a predicted model, not a curated record.